Molecule: ribosomal RNA, 429 nt
Filed under: uncultured bacterium
Lineage: Bacteria
Description: bacterial SSU rRNA
Rfam family: Bacterial small subunit ribosomal RNA
Source: RNAcentral
UGGGGAAUUUUGGACAAUGGGGGCAACCCUGAUCCAGCAAUGCCGCGUGAGUGAAGAAGGCCUUCGGGUUGUAAAGCUCUUUUGUCAGGGAAGAAAAGGUCGUGGCUAAUAUCCACGACUGCUGACGGUACCUGAAGAAUAAGCACCGGCUAACUACGUGCCAGCAGCCGCGGUAAUACGUAGGGUGCAAGCGUUAAUCGGAAUUACUGGGCGUAAAGCGUGCGCAGGCGGUUUCGUAAGUCUGUCGUGAAAUCCCCGGGCUUAACCUGGGAAUGGCGAUGGAGACUGCGAGGCUAGAGUUUGGCAGAGGGGGGUAGAAUUCCACGUGUAGCAGUGAAAUGCGUAGAGAUGUGGAGGAACACCGAUGGCGAAGGCAGCCCCCUGGGUCAAAACUGACGCUCAUGCACGAAAGCGUGGGGAGCAAACAGG